RNAcentral lists this ribosomal RNA (441 nucleotides) under uncultured bacterium. RNAcentral's name for it is "partial 16S ribosomal RNA". It matches the Rfam family "Bacterial small subunit ribosomal RNA", at positions 338 to 795 of the family's 1533-position model. The record is from RNAcentral.
CCUACGGGAGGCAGCAGUAGGGAAUGUUGCGCAAUGGGGGAAACCCUGACGCAGCAACGCCGCGUGAAUGAUGAAGGCCUUCGGGGUGUAAAGAUCUGUCAGAGGGGACGAAACCUGACGGUACCCACAGAGGAAGCACCGGCUAACUCCGUGCCAGCAGCCGCGGUAAUACGGGGGGUGCAAGCGUUGUCCGGAAUCAUUGGGCGUAAAGAGUUCGUAGGUGGCACGUUAAGUCUGGUGGUAAAGGCGGAAGCUCAACUUCCGUAGGGCACUGGAUACUGGCGAGCUAGAGUGCGGUAGAGGUAAAGGGAAUUCCUAGUGUAGCGGUGAAAUGCAUAGAUAUCACGCAGAACACCGAUUGCGAAGGCAUCUCACGAAUCCGCGAUUGACGCUGAUGCACGAAAGCGUGGGUAUCAAACAGGAUUAGAUACCCUUGUAGUC